AUUGAACGCUGGCGGCAUGCUUUACACAUGCAGGUCGAACGGUAACAGGCCUUCGGGUGCUGACGAGUGGCGAACGGGUGAGUAAUGCAUCGGAACGUGCCCAAUCGUGGGGGAUAACGUAGCGAAAGUUACGCUAAUACCGCAUAAGCCCUGAGGGGGAAAGUGGGGGACCGCAAGGCCUCACGCGAAUGGAGCGGCCGAUGUCAGAUUAGCUAGUUGGUGGGGUAAAGGCCCACCAAGGCGACGAUCUGUAGCGGGUCUGAGAGGAUGAUCCGCCACACUGGGACUGAGACACGGCCCAGACUCCUACGGGAGGCAGCAGUGGGGAAUUUUGGACAAUGGGCGCAAGCCUGAUCCAGCCAUGCCGCGUGCGGGACGAAGGCCUUCGGGUUGUAAACCGCUUUCAGCCGGAAGAAAUCGCCGUUUUAA
RNAcentral lists this ribosomal RNA (429 nucleotides) under uncultured bacterium. RNAcentral's name for it is "bacterial SSU rRNA". It matches the Rfam family "Bacterial small subunit ribosomal RNA", at positions 29 to 461 of the family's 1533-position model. The record is from RNAcentral.